RNAcentral lists this unclassified non-coding RNA (253 nucleotides) under uncultured Halomonadaceae bacterium. RNAcentral's name for it is "contains 16S-23S intergenic spacer region". It matches the Rfam family "Bacterial small subunit ribosomal RNA", at positions 524 to 776 of the family's 1533-position model. The record is from RNAcentral. Lineage: Bacteria; Pseudomonadati; Pseudomonadota; Gammaproteobacteria; Oceanospirillales; Halomonadaceae.
UACGUAGGGUGCGAGCGUUAAUCGGAAUUACUGGGCGUAAAGCGCGCGUAGGUGGCUCGAUAAGCCGGUUGUGAAAGCCCCGGGCUCAACCUGGGAACGGCAUCCGGAACUGGCGGGCUAGAGUGCAGGAGAGGGAGGUAGAAUUCCCGGUGUAGCGGUGAAAUGCGUAGAGAUCGGGAGGAAUACCAGUGGCGAAGGCGGCCUUCUGGACUGACACUGACGCUGAGGUGCGAAAGCGUCGGUAGCAAACAGG